UCGAGUGGCGAACGGGUGAGUAACACGUGGGUGAUCUGCCCUGCACUUCGGGAUAAGCCUGGGAAACUGGGUCUAAUACCGGAUAGGAGCCAUUUUUAGUGUGAUGGUUGGAAAGUUUUUUCGGUGUAGGAUGAGCUCGCGGCCUAUCAGCUUGUUGGUGGGGUAAUGGCCUACCAAGGCGGCGACGGGUAGCCGGCCUGAGAGGGUGGACGGCCACAUUGGGACUGAGAUACGGCCCAGACUCC
RNAcentral lists this ribosomal RNA (245 nucleotides) under uncultured Corynebacterium sp. RNAcentral describes it as "partial 16S ribosomal RNA". It matches the Rfam family "Bacterial small subunit ribosomal RNA", at positions 91 to 339 of the family's 1533-position model. The record is from RNAcentral. Lineage: Bacteria; Bacillati; Actinomycetota; Actinomycetes; Mycobacteriales; Corynebacteriaceae.